GAUGAACGCUGGCGGCGUGCCUAAUACAUGCAAGUCGAGCGAACAGACGAGGAGCUUGCUCCUCUGACGUUAGCGGCGGACGGGUGAGUAACACGUGGGUAACCUACCUAUAAGACUGGGAUAACUUCGGGAAACCGGAGCUAAUACCGGAUAAUAUAUUGAACCGCAUGGUUCAAUAGUGAAAGACGGUUUUGCUGUCACUUAUAGAUGGAUCCGCGCCGCAUUAGCUAGUUGGUAAGGUAACGGCUUACCAAGGCAACGAUGCGUAGCCGACCUGAGAGGGUGAUCGGCCACACUGGAACUGAGACACGGUCCAGACUCCUACGGGAGGCAGCAGUAGGGAAUCUUCCGCAAUGGGCGAAAGCCUGACGGAGCAACGCCGCGUGAGUGAUGAAGGUCUUCGGAUCGUAAAACUCUGUUAUUAGGGAAGAACAAAUGUGUAAGUAACUAUGCACGUCUUGACGGUACCUAAUCAGAAAGCCACGGCUAGCUACGUG
This 497-nucleotide ribosomal RNA is filed under the name uncultured bacterium. Its description in RNAcentral is "partial 16S ribosomal RNA". It matches the Rfam family "Bacterial small subunit ribosomal RNA", at positions 28 to 507 of the family's 1533-position model. The record is from RNAcentral.